UACGUAGGGUGCGAGCGUUAAUCGGAAUUACUGGGCGUAAAGGGUGCGCAGGCGGUUAUAUAAGACAGAUGUGAAAUCCCCGGGCUCACCUGGGAACUGCGUUUGUGACUGUAUGACUAGAGUACGGUAGAGAGGGGUGGAAUUCCUGGUGUAGCAGUGAAAUGCGUAGAUAUCAGGAGGAACAUCGAUGGCGAAGGCAGCCCCUUGGACC
This 211-nucleotide ribosomal RNA is filed under the name uncultured bacterium. RNAcentral describes it as "partial 16S ribosomal RNA". It matches the Rfam family "Bacterial small subunit ribosomal RNA", at positions 524 to 735 of the family's 1533-position model. The record is from RNAcentral.